GCCAGUUUAGUCUAGUGGGUAAGGCACCAGGCUAGAAACCAGGAGAUUGUGAGUUCUAGUCCCACUUUAGGCA
Ophiophagus hannah (king cobra) is the source of this 73-nucleotide transfer RNA. It matches the Rfam family "tRNA". Rfam says of the family: Transfer RNA (tRNA) molecules are approximately 80 nucleotides in length. Their secondary structure includes four short double-helical elements and three loops (D, anti-codon, and T loops). The record is from Rfam. NCBI's taxonomy places the organism in Eukaryota, Metazoa, Chordata, Lepidosauria, Squamata, Elapidae.